This 385-nucleotide ribosomal RNA is filed under the name uncultured bacterium. Its description in RNAcentral is "bacterial SSU rRNA". It matches the Rfam family "Bacterial small subunit ribosomal RNA", at positions 28 to 416 of the family's 1533-position model. The record is from RNAcentral.
GACGAACGCUGGCGGCGUGCUUAACACAUGCAAGUCGAGCGGUAAGGCCCUUUCGGGGGUACACGAGCGGCGAACGGGUGAGUAACACGUGGGUGACCUGCCCUCAGCUCUGGGAUAAGCCUGGGAAACCGGGUCUAAUACUGGAUAUGACUCCAUGACGCAUGUUGUGGGGUGGAAAGCCUUGUGCGGCUGAGGAUGGGCCCGCGGCCUAUCAGCUUGUUGGUGGGGGAUGGCCUACCAAGGCGACGACGGGUAGCCGGCCUGAGAGGGCGACGGCCACACUGGGACUGAGACACGGCCCAGACUCCUACGGGAGGCAGCAGUGGGGAAUCUUGCGCAAUGGGCGAAAGCCUGACGCAGCGACGCCGCGUGAGGGAUGACGGCC